This 305-nucleotide ribosomal RNA is filed under the name uncultured bacterium. RNAcentral's name for it is "bacterial SSU rRNA". It matches the Rfam family "Bacterial small subunit ribosomal RNA", at positions 338 to 640 of the family's 1533-position model. The record is from RNAcentral.
CCUACGGGGGGCAGCAGUGAGGAAUAUUGGUCAAUGGGCUUACGCCUGAACCAGCCAAGUCGCGUGAGGGAAGACUGCCCUAUGGGUUGUAAACCUCUUUUGUCAGGGAGCAACGCCAGCUACGUGUAGCCGGACUGAGAGUACCCGAAGAAAAAGCAUCGGCUAACUCCGUGCCAGCAGCCGCGGUAAUACGGAGGAUGCGAGCGUUAUCCGGAUUUAUUGGGUUUAAAGGGUGCGUAGUCGGAAUGCCAAGUCAGCGUUACAAUCGCGGGGCUCAACCUCGCUCCGCCGUUGAAACUGGCGUU